CAGCCGCCGCGGGAAUACGAAGGGGGCUAGCGUUGUUCGGAAUCACUGGGCGUAAAGCGCACGUAGGCGGACCUUUAAGUCAGGGGUGAAAGCCUGGAGCUCAACUCCAGAACUGCCUUUGAUACUGGAGGUCUCGAGUGUGGAAGAGGUUGGUGGAACUGCGAGUGUAGAGGUGAAAUUCGUAGAUAUUCGCAAGAACACCAGUGGCGAAGGCGGCCAACUGGUCCAUUACUGACGCUGAGGUGCGAAAGCGUGGGGAGCAAACAGGAUUAGAUACCCGUGUAGUCCCUGUCUCUUAUAC
Molecule: ribosomal RNA, 301 nt
Filed under: uncultured bacterium
Lineage: Bacteria
Description: partial 16S ribosomal RNA
Rfam family: Bacterial small subunit ribosomal RNA
Source: RNAcentral